This 73-nucleotide transfer RNA is filed under the name Felis catus (domestic cat). It matches the Rfam family "tRNA". From Rfam's summary of the family: Transfer RNA (tRNA) molecules are approximately 80 nucleotides in length. Their secondary structure includes four short double-helical elements and three loops (D, anti-codon, and T loops). The record is from Rfam by way of RNAcentral. Lineage: Eukaryota; Metazoa; Chordata; Mammalia; Carnivora; Felidae. RNAcentral also lists the same sequence under 3 other names.
GCUUGACUGGCUCUGUCAGUAGAGCAUGGGACUCUUGAUCUUGGGGUCGUGAGUUCGAGCCCCAUGUUGGACA